UUUUCUUAAACGUGUGUCUACUAGACUGUGAUUUAUUGUUCCAUUCGCUUGCUGUUGCUACAUCAUUGUCUCCAACAGACGAUGCCGAGUGGUCCUCAAUUAUUGAAGAGUGAUAAUAACUUGUGGCGAGGUCCCAUCUGUUCCUCGUAUCGCCCCAAAGGAGUCAUAACAGUCGUAUCAUCGCCCAGUGGGAACCCAGCAUCAACUAAGGCUGACCCCCGCAGCAGUGUCUCCGUCCAUAGCAGUCAGGCGAGCGCACCCAUGCUUCUAUAUUUAAACUACAAAGCGAG
RNAcentral lists this long non-coding RNA (290 nucleotides) under Neogobius melanostomus (round goby). Its description in RNAcentral is "lncRNA (ENSNMLG00000023136.1)". The record is from RNAcentral. Lineage: Eukaryota; Metazoa; Chordata; Actinopteri; Gobiiformes; Gobiidae.